This 492-nucleotide ribosomal RNA is filed under the name uncultured bacterium. Its description in RNAcentral is "partial 16S ribosomal RNA". It matches the Rfam family "Bacterial small subunit ribosomal RNA", at positions 29 to 507 of the family's 1533-position model. The record is from RNAcentral.
AGUGAACGCUGGCGGUAGGCCUAACACAUGCAAGUCGAACGGCAGCACAGUAAGAGCUUGCUCUUACGGGUGGCGGGUGGCGGACGGGUGAGGAAUACAUCGGAAUCUACUUUUUCGUGGGGGAUAACGUAGGGAAACUUACGCUAAUACCGCAUGCGACCUACGGGUGAAAGCAGGGGAUCUUCGGACCUUGCGCGAUUGAAUGAGCCGAUGUCGGAUUAGCUAGUUGGCGGGGUAAAGGCCCACCAAGGCGACGAUCCGUAGCUGGUCUGAGAGGAUGAUCAGCCACACUGGAACUGAGACACGGUCCAGACUCCUACGGGAGGCAGCAGUGGGGAAUAUUGGACAAUGGGCGCAAGCCUGAUCCAGCCAUACCGCGUGGGUGAAGAAGGCCUUCGGGUUGUAAAGCCCUUUUGUUGGGAAAGAAAAGCAGCAGGUUAAUACCCCGCUGUUCUGACGGUACCCAAAGAAUAAGCACCGGCUAACUUCGUG